This 480-nucleotide ribosomal RNA is filed under the name uncultured organism. RNAcentral's name for it is "partial 16S ribosomal RNA". It matches the Rfam family "Bacterial small subunit ribosomal RNA", at positions 329 to 800 of the family's 1533-position model. The record is from RNAcentral.
ACGUACACUCCUACGGGAGGCAGCAGUGGGGAAUUUUGGACAAUGGGCGAAAGCCUGAUCCAGCCAUGCCGCGUGCAGGAUGAAGGCCUUCGGGUUGUAAACUGCUUUUGUACGGAACCAAACGGCCUUUUCUAAUAAAGAGGGCUAAUGACGGUACCGUAAGAAUAAGCACCGGCUAACUACGUGCCAGCAGCCGCGGUAAUACGUAGGGUGCAAGCGUUAAUCGGAAUUACUGGGCGUAAAGCGUGCGCAGGCGGUUAUGUAAGACAGUUGUGAAAUCCCCGGGCUCAACCUGGGAACUGCAUCUGUGACUGCAUAGCUAGAGUACGGUAGAGGGGGAUGGAAUUCCGCGUGUAGCAGUGAAAUGCGUAGAUAUGCGGAGGAACACCGAUGGCGAAGGCAAUCCCCUGGACCUGUACUGACGCUCAUGCACGAAAGCGUGGGGAGCAAACAGGAUUAGAAACCCCAGUAGUCCCAUGA